Molecule: ribosomal RNA, 472 nt
Filed under: Pseudomonas sp.
Lineage: Bacteria; Pseudomonadati; Pseudomonadota; Gammaproteobacteria; Pseudomonadales; Pseudomonadaceae
Description: bacterial SSU rRNA
Rfam family: Bacterial small subunit ribosomal RNA
Source: RNAcentral
UGUUAGAGUUUGAUCAUGGCUCAGAUUGAACGCUGGCGGCAGGCCUAACACAUGCAAGUCGAGCGGUAGAGAGAAGCUUGCUUCUCUGGAGAGCGGCGGACGGGUGAGUAAUCCCUAGGAAUCUGCCUGGUAGUGGGGGAUAACGUUCGGAAACGGCCGAUAAUUCCGCAUACGUCCUACGGGAGAAAGCAGGGGACCUUCGGGCCUUGCGCUAUCAGAUGAGCCUAGGUCGGAUUAGCUAGUUGGUGAGGUAAUGGCUCACCAAGGCGACGAUCCGUAACUGGUCUGAGAGGAUGAUCAGUCACACUGGAACUGAGACACGGUCCAGACUCCUACGGGAGGCAGCAGUGGGGAAUAUUGGACAAUGGGCGAAAGCCUGAUCCAGCCAUGCCGCGUGUGUGAAGAAGGUCUUCGGAUUGUAAAGCACUUUAAGUUGGGAGGAACGGGUCGUAGAUUAAUACUCUGCAAUUUG